This is a small nucleolar RNA of Erinaceus europaeus (western European hedgehog), 128 nucleotides long. NCBI's taxonomy places the organism in Eukaryota, Metazoa, Chordata, Mammalia, Eulipotyphla, Erinaceidae. The record is from Ensembl.
CAGCAUGUUUCCAAGGUUUAUAAUUGGUUGUAACCAGGGGAUCUCCAACUGCAUGCAAGAAUAACCUGGAAAGAUUUUGACAGCACAGCUCAGCAUAAUAGUAACUGCCACUCAACUUUCCUGUAUUU